UACGUAGGGGGCAAGCGUUGUCCGGAAUCAUUGGGCGUAAAGAGCGCGUAGGCGGCCCAGUCAGUCUGCUAGUGAAAGUCAGAGGCUCAACCGUCUGGAUGCCGGUGGAUACUGCUGGGCUAGAGUCCGGAAGAGGCGAGUGGAAUUCCUGGUGUAGCGGUGAAAUGCGCAGAUAUCAGGAGGAACACCGAUGGCGAAGGCAGCUCGCUGGGACGGUACUGACGCUGAGGCGCGAAAGCGUGGGGAGCAAACAGG
Molecule: ribosomal RNA, 255 nt
Filed under: uncultured bacterium
Lineage: Bacteria
Description: partial 16S ribosomal RNA
Rfam family: Bacterial small subunit ribosomal RNA
Source: RNAcentral